Molecule: unclassified non-coding RNA, 253 nt
Filed under: uncultured Halomonadaceae bacterium
Lineage: Bacteria; Pseudomonadati; Pseudomonadota; Gammaproteobacteria; Oceanospirillales; Halomonadaceae
Description: contains 16S-23S intergenic spacer region
Rfam family: Bacterial small subunit ribosomal RNA
Source: RNAcentral
UACGGAGGGUGCGAGCGUUAAUCGGAAUUACUGGGCGUAAAGCGCGCGUAGGUGGCUUGAUAAGCCGGUUGUGAAAGCCCCGGGCUCAACCUGGGAACGGCAUCCGGAACUGUCAGGCUAGAGUGCAGGAGAGGAAGGUAGAAUUCCCGGUGUAGCGGUGAAAUGCGUAGAGAUCUGGAGGAAUACCGAUGGCGAAGGCAGCCAUCUGGCCUAAUACUGACGCUGAGGUGCGAAAGCGUGGGUAGCAAACAGG